Non-coding RNA from Sinocyclocheilus rhinocerous, 73 nucleotides. NCBI's taxonomy places the organism in Eukaryota, Metazoa, Chordata, Actinopteri, Cypriniformes, Cyprinidae. The record is from the annotation of a RefSeq genome assembly.
GUUUCCGUAGUGUAGUGGUUAACACGUUCGCCUCACAAGCAAAAGCUCCACAGUUCGAAAUUGCGUGGAAACA